GAUGAACGCUGGCGGCGUGCCUAAUACAUGCAAGUCGAGCGAACAGACGAGGAGCUUGCUCCUCGGACGUUAGCGGCGGACGGGUGAGUAACACGUGGAUAACCUACCUAUCAGACUGGGAAAACUACGGGAAACCGGAGAUAAUACCGGAGAAUAUAUUGAACCGCAGGGGGGAUUGGAGAAAGACGGCGGUGCGGGCACUUAUAGAUGGAUCCGCGCCGCAUUGGCUAGUUGGUAGGGUAAAGGCUUACCAAGGCAACGAUGCGUAGCCGACCUGAGAGGCUGAUCGGCCACCCUGGAACUGAGCCACGCUCCAUACUCCUACGGGAGGCAGCAGUAGGGAAUCUUCCGCAACGGUCGAAAGCCUUACGCAGCAACGCCGCGUGAGUUAUGACGGUCCUCGGAUCGUAAUACUCUGUUAUUAGUUAAGAACCAAUUUGUACUUAACUAUGCCCUUCUUGACGGUACCUAAUCAGAAAGCCCCGGCUAACUACGUG
This 497-nucleotide ribosomal RNA is filed under the name uncultured bacterium. RNAcentral's name for it is "partial 16S ribosomal RNA". It matches the Rfam family "Bacterial small subunit ribosomal RNA", at positions 28 to 507 of the family's 1533-position model. The record is from RNAcentral.